Long non-coding RNA from Oncorhynchus keta (chum salmon), 630 nucleotides. RefSeq lists it as uncharacterized. The record is from RefSeq and is a predicted model, not a curated record. Lineage: Eukaryota; Metazoa; Chordata; Actinopteri; Salmoniformes; Salmonidae. The transcript has 4 exons.
UGCAGUCUCUCUCUAGGGCUCUUGUUUUGGUUUUACAACCACAUAGCACUUGCUCACCAUCAGUGAGUAUUGUUAUUUUGCUAUACUGUUUGUUUGUUGGUGGGAAAAGGGGGAACCAAGACAAGUCGCCCAUGGGCAUACACUACCCAGAAUACUUCAAUGAGAGUCCUGCCAUGGAAAAGACGACUGGGUGGACAUAAAGUGGAAAGGAGGGGAAAUAACUCCCACCAUGCAGCAGGACACCUUCAGCUGUGGGGUCUUUUGUAAUGCAGGUGUAGAUGGCCAAGGAAGUUGCACAGAACUUUCCUCCCAACAUCCCUUCCCAAAUUGAUAUGGAACCUUCACAAAAACACAUGGAGGUACUGCGAAUAUAAAUGGCUGAGGAUAGACAACAUGUCUGAUUGGAUGUGUUGCAUGCCAACGGGGGUUCCAUGUGCUGUGCCUAGGAAUGAAGACACAAGAGUUCACCAGAGUAAAGAACACAAACAGGAAGUGCUGUCUUUGUUGUUGGAAAUGUAUGCAUUACCUCAUCCAUAGUGAAGAGGUUCUGACAUGUACAUCAACCAGGGAUAAAGAGGAAGUUAACGCGGUGAAAUGUUUCAUUUAAUUGAACUUAAGUGUCUGACAUGU